CCUACGGGUGGCUGCAGUGAGGAAUAUUGGUCAAUGGUCGGGAGACUGAACCAGCCAAGCCGCGUGAGGGAGGAAGGUACAGAGUAUCGUAAACCUCUUUUGUCAGGGAACAAAGACUGGGACGCGUCCCCGGAUGAGUGUACCUGAAGAAAAAGCAUCGGCUAACUCCGUACCAGCAGCCGCGGUAAUACGGAGGAUGCGAGCGUUAUCCGGAUUUAUUGGGUUUAAGGGGUGCGCAGGCGGUUGGUUAAGUCAGCGGUAAAACCCCGGGGCUCAACCCCGGCCCGCCGUUGAAACUGGCAGUCUCGAGUUGGAGAGAAGUAUGCGGAAUGCGCGGUGUAGCGGUGAAAUGCAUAGAUAUCGCGAAGAACUCCGAUGGCGAAGGCAGCAUGCCGGCUCCACACUGACGCUGAGGCACGAAAGCGUGGGUAUCGAACAGGAUUAGAUACCCGAGUAGUC
Molecule: ribosomal RNA, 459 nt
Filed under: uncultured bacterium
Lineage: Bacteria
Description: partial 16S ribosomal RNA
Rfam family: Bacterial small subunit ribosomal RNA
Source: RNAcentral